GGGGAGAGAGAGAGAGAGAGAGAGAGAGAGAGAGAGAGAGAGAGAGAAAGAAAGAAAGAAAGAAAGAAAGAAAGAAAGAAAGAAAGAAAGAAAGAGAGAGAGAGAGAGAGAAAGAAAGAAAGAAAGAAAGAAAGAAAGAAAGAAAGAAAGAAAGAGAGAGAGAGAGAAUUGAAUAAGCAUCCUUGAAAGAAUAGACAAGCGUGAAGCCUGAGUUGUUUAAAAACAAAGUAUAUUGAGUUUAAGGAUCAACAGUUAAAUUGGACAUAUACUUUUGCUUCAUAUUGACUUUGAAAAAUCAGUGUCUCCCUUGAUAUCGGGCCUACAUCAACGAAAACAUUUCUCUUCUGUUCAGAGGCAGAGCAACAGUAACAUACAGUACCAAGUAUUGAUAAAGUAGUGUAGCCUGAUACAGGAAAGUUUCUGAGCACAUCUGAAAAAACAAAACGUAAUAACACACCAGACAUAACACAGUAAAUACAUUGUGAUGAUGACCACUUGACAGGGGAGAAGACGUACAGUACACAUACAAAAGAGAGUUUGCAAUACAUGUGUACAUAAAUACAUUAUUUUGAGGAUUUCUUUUUUUUUGCUUGUUGUUUUUAUAAAAUAUUUUUCAAGAAACGUAAAACGACGGAAAAAAGUUGCACAAAACACACUUUUAAACGACUCUGUUAGCGACACAUGAAAAAUGAAUAUGUCAAAUGAAUCAACACACACACACACACACACACACACACACACACACACACACACACACACACACACACACACACACACACACACACAAAGCACACACAAAGCACACACAAAGCACAACAGAAAAAACAUAUUUCUCUUCCUAUGUCACAACUGCACUGCAAGUUUGGCUUUUUUUUUCAAUGGUUAAGACAAUGUGAUUCCUAUAGUCGAGUUUCUGAAUCAUUUGUGGGCCAUGAACUGGAUCUCACUUGGCUAUAGGACCGUGGCUCGUUUCAAAACCUCUACCACAACGCUGUCACCUGGUAUUCCGUUGAGAAAAUAUGUCUCUGUUACUUUACAUGGGAGAGAUAACCAUGAUUUAUAAAGCAGACAAACUUCCCAGCCAGUGAGAGUUAUAUAAAUAUGAGCGUGGGCUGAUGGUGGUGUAUGGGCAAAUGGAAAUUGACUUGGGUCCAGCGGAAUGGCAAUAAAGUAUGAAUAAAUGGAUUGUGGGGGAAGAGGGAGAGACUAGCUGAGAGAGCCGAUGGCAGCCAUUUUGUGUCUGGCCCGUGGCCCAUGGUGCCAUCUUACAAAUGACUGCAUUAACAGAGCCAAUUAAAGUGGCAAUCAUUUAAUGGCCACCUACGCAGCCGUGCGAGACUGGGACUUUCAUCACGUCAAUCGGCCGUAAGGCAGUAAUAUUCAGUUAGAGCAAUCUGGCCAGUGGACCGACUCAGCUCUGCUCUACUCUCAAUAAAACAUGCCACCACUCAGCACUGACUGGGUAUUAGGAACAACAGCUUUAGGAGGAGAGGAGUUAUUCUUUUGAAAAUAAAUACACUGAAUCGCUUUAAUUUAAUGGCAGCUAUCAAUAGUAGUUCUUUGUAGUUAAUUGUACAAAAAAGUUUGUAAUAAAAAAAAAGAGAAUAAAUGUUUUAUUUUCCACCAAUUUUUCUAAAUGUAUUUUGGUUUUUAUAAACUAAGGAACACAUGCUUUCCAGGACAGGUUUCACUCCCUUCACCUGAAAUGAAGGGGACAUGAAGAUGCAGACAGAGUGAUGGGGGACAUAAACUAAGGAACACAUGAAGGUGCAGACAGAGUGAUGGGGGACAUGAAGAAGCAGACAGAGUGAUGGGGGACAUGAAGAUGCAGACAGAGUGAUGGGGGACAUGAAGAUGCAGACAGAGUGAUGGGGGACAUGAAGAAGCAGACAGAGUGAUGGGGGACAUGAAGAUGCAGACAGAGUGAUGGGGGACAUGAAGGUGCAGACAGAGUGAUGGGGGACAUGAAGAUGCAGACAGAGUGAUGGGGGACAUGAAGGUGCAGAUGGAGUGAUGGGGACAUGAAGGUGCAGAUGGAAGGAUGGGGACAUGAAGGUGCAGAAAGACUGAUGGGUAGAAAGAAGAAAAGAAUUGCAUUUUAUCGACCAAUGUCCUUCCCCAUCUAUCCUCUGCAGUCAUACUACCCAGAAUGCUUUCGGCUCCAAGCGCUCUUUGAGUUUUAGGAGCAUCGUAAAGUGGAACAGAGCUAGAGUCGUUUAAAAUUGGGCUUGUCUACUUCAAAACAUAAAUAUAACAACAAAAAGCAACAAAAAUGCAAAACAACAUAAAAAUAAAACAAUUUCUCGGGGACCUGAUUCUCAUCCUCUAGGUUAUUUGGACACAUUGUAUACACACAUACAUAUUGUAGACCAACAAUACACUUCACAUGGUCAUCUGACCAAAGACACAUAGAAUCACAAGAUAAGCCAGUUGCGUCUAUACCGGCACCUUUUCCCUACACAGUGCACUACUUUAGACCAGGGCCCAUAGGGAAUAGGGUGCAUUACUUUAGACCAGGGACCAUAGGGAAUAGGGUGCUUUAGACCAGGGCCCAUAGGGAAUAGGGUGCACUACUUUAGACCAGGGCCCAUAGGGAAUAGGGUGCACUACUUUAGACCAGGACCCAUAGGGAAUAGGGUGCACUACUUUAGACCAGGGCCCAUAGGGAAUAGGGUGCAUUACUUUAGACCAGGGCCCAUAGGGAUUAGGGUGCUUUAGACCAGGGCCCAUAGGGAAUAGGGUGCACUACUUUAGACCAGGACCCAUAGGGAAUAGGGUGCACUACUUUAGACCAGGGCCCAUAGGGAAUAGGGUGCUUUACUUUAGACCAGGGCCCAUAGGGAAUAGGGUGCUUUAGACCAGGGCCCAUAGGGAAUAGGGUGCAUUACUUUAGACCAGGGCCCAUAGGGAAUAGGGUGCACUACUUUAGACCAGGGCCCAUAGGGAAUAGGGUGCUUUAGACCAGGACCCAUAGGGAAUAGGGUGCUUUAGACCAGGGCCCAUAGGGAAUAGGGUGCACUACUUUAGACCAGGGCCCAUAGGGAAUAGGGUGCACUACUUUAGACCAGGACCCAUAGGGAAUAGGGUGCACUACUUUAGACCAGGGCCCAUAGGGAAUAGGGUGCAUUACUUUAGACCAGGGCCCAUAGGGAUUAGGGUGCUUUAGACCAGGGCCCAUAGGGAAUAGGGUGCACUACUUUAGACCAGGACCCAUAGGGAAUAGGGUGCACUACUUUAGACCAGGGCCCAUAGGGAAUAGGGUGCAUUACUUUAGACCAGGGCCCAUAGGGAAUAGGGUGCUUUACUUUAGACCAGGGCCCAUAGGGAAUAGGGUGCUUUAGACCAGGGCCCAUAGGGAAUAGGGUGCAUUACUUUAGACCAGGCCCAUAGGGAAUAGGGUGCUUUAGACCAGGGCCCAUAGGGAAUAGGGUGCACUACUUUAGAACAGGACCCAUAGGGAAUAGGGUGCUUCAGUAUACCAACAAUGAAAUUAAAAUAUAUUUUAUAAAGUCCUAAAAUGUCACCACUGUUUAACCCACUGUUUGACCCACUGUUUGACCCACUGUUUGACCCACUGUUUGACCCACUGUUUGACCCACUGUUUGACCCACUGUUUGACCCAUAUAGAUCGUGAUACAUGUUUGUGAAAGGAAUAACAUUUUGUUUCAUUUUUAAAAAACUUUUUCUAGAUUUUCUCAAUCUAAUAAUAAUAGAUAAUAUCACUAUAAUCCAUUUGAUACACCAAUAAACACUAUGCUGUGACACUUCUAUAAUAACACACAAGUACUGUAUGUAAAUGAUUCUAGGAAAAUAAUAACAUCUUGUAGAAAUACAAAAACAAGGAAAACAAGAGUAAUUUCAGGAAGAAUUCAGUAAAGUGCAAAUAGGAAGAUAUAUAAGGAAUGAAAUAUAUAGUAAUAUUAAGAUUAUUCAUAAUAAAAGUCAACAUAUGCAACAUGAGAUACUUAUUUACAUAAUAAAAUCAGAGCAGCAGCAGAGUUGAUAUCCUUCUCGCACAGAACAGCUGUUUUUACAUUGUGAGGUCAAAGGUCUAUUGAGAGUGAUGUAGUUUGACUAUAAGAAUAUUUUGUAUAAUAUCAAUACUGAUAUAUUUUAAGGUGGAUAUGUAAGAUUUUGUUUGGGCUAGAUAUAUUUUGCGCGUGAGCCGAGCUGGUCAAAGACGUUUUUGUCAUGAAACACCAACAGGUUACAGUGUAGAUAGAGAAUAUCUCUUCCAGUAUGAACCCUACGCAACAAGUCUUAACAUUUUAAAGCACCAUCGUGCCCACUCGUUUGCCCUUUUGAGUUAUUCAACCUCUUGGAACCACCCAUCGCGGAUCCGGGAUAAUUGUCAUCAACUACGCUAAAUAGCAUAGCGCAACGGUCAAAUAAUCUUACUAGAAAAUAUUCAUAGUCGUGAAAUCACAAGUGAAAUAUAGCGAAACACAUCUUAGCCUUUUGUUAAUCACCAUGUCGUCUCAGAUUUUGAAAUGAUGCUUUACAGCGAUAACAAUCCAAGCGUUUGUGUAAGUUUAUCGAUAUACUAACAAAACAUUAUGUUCACCUAGCUGCAGGUAACUUGGUCACGAAAAUAUUUUUUAAAUCCAAAUACCUCUGUUAGUUUGAUGCGUUAUGACUAGGAAUCCACCGGAAAUAGCGGUCACGACAACGCAGACAAAAAUUCCAAAUUAUAUCCAUAAUAUCGACAGAAAUAUGGCAAACGUUUUUUAUAAUCAAUCCUCAAGGUGUUUUUCAAAUAUCUAUUCGAUAAUAUAUCAACCGGGACAGUUGGCUUUUCACUAGGACCGGGAGGAACAAUGUCUACCUCUCUGUUUUGCGCAAAAAUCACACUGAGAGCCGACACAACUGACCACUUACGCAAUGUGGACGUUUACACUCAUUCUUCAAAAUAAAGGCCUGAAACUACAUCUAAAGGCUGUAGACACCUGAGGGAAGCCACAGAAAAAGGAAUCUGGUUGAUAUCCCUUUCAAUGGGCAAUAGGGAUGCAUAGAAACACAGGGGUUUGAAAAUAGCUAGGCCAUUGAGGAGGCAUUAGGACGGGAACAGUCAAACAAUAGCUAGGCCAUUGAGGAGGCAUUAGGAUGGGAACAGUCAAACAAUAGCUAGGCCAUUGAGCAGGCAUUAGGAUGGGAACAGUCAAACAAUAGCUAGGCCAUUGAGCAGGCAUUAGGAUGGGAACAGUCAAACAAUAGCUAGGCCAUUGAGCAGGCAUUAGGAUGGGAACAGUCAAACAAUAGCUAGGCCAUUGAGCAGGCAUUAGGAUGGGAACAGACAAACAAUAGCUAGGCCAUUGAGCAGGCAUUAGGAUGGGAACAGACAAACAAUAGCUAGGCCAUUGAGUAGGCAUUAGGAUGGGAACAGUCAAACAAUAGCUAGGCCAUUGAGUAGGCAUUAGGAUGGGAACAGACAAACAAUAGCUAGGCCAUUGAGUAGGCAUUAGGAUGGGAACAGACAAACAAUAGCUAGGCCAUUGAGCAGGCAUUAGGAUGGGAACAGUCAAACAAUAGCUAGGCCAUUGAGUAGGCAUUAGGAUGGGAACAGACAAACAAUAGCUAGGCCAUUGAGUAGGCAUUAGGAUGGGAACAGUCAAACAAUAGCUAGGCCAUUGAGCAGGCAUUAGGAUGGGAACAGUCAAACAAUAGCUAGGCCAUUGAGUAGGCAUUAGGAUGGGAACAGACAAACAAUAGCUAGGCCAUUGAGCAGGCAUUAGGAUGGCAACUGUCAAUGUCAUAUAUUUCCAUUUGUUUCCGUAUCUUCUAAAUAUAUGGCUCUGGUUACAAACAUUGAGGAUCGAGGAUGAAUUGUGUGAAAGACACAAAAGCCAGUCAGACAUGUUUAUGAGUGAAGGAGUAGAACGACACAUAAGGAAACACUGCUAGCUCAACCUAGUUAAAGGGAAAG
Molecule: long non-coding RNA, 5923 nt
Organism: Oncorhynchus tshawytscha (Chinook salmon)
Lineage: Eukaryota; Metazoa; Chordata; Actinopteri; Salmoniformes; Salmonidae
Source: Ensembl